Non-coding RNA from Flammula alnicola, 99 nucleotides. NCBI's taxonomy places the organism in Eukaryota, Fungi, Basidiomycota, Agaricomycetes, Agaricales, Strophariaceae. The record is from the annotation of a GenBank genome assembly.
GGUUCAAUGGUCUAGUGGUUAUGAUUUCUGUCUCACAUUGCAGCUUGCUGAAGCUUGUAAGGACACAGAAGGUCUCCAGUUCGAUCCUGGAUUGAACCA